GUCGAGAAUCUUUCACAAUGGGGGCAACCCUGAUGGAGCGACGCCGCGUGGAGGAUAAGGUCUUCGGAUUGUAAACUCCUGUCAUGCGUGAACAAGGUUGCUUGGUUAAUACCUGGGCAAAUUGAUGGUAACGCAAGAGGAAGAGACGGCUAACUCUGUGCCAGCAGCCGCGGUAAUACAGAGGUCUCAAUCGUUGUUCGGAAUCACUGGGCGUAAAGGGUGCGUAGGUGGCGUGGUAAGUCAGAUGUGAAAGCCCGGGGCUCAACCUCGGAACUGCAUCCGAUACUGCCAGGCUAGAGUACUGGAGAGGUGACUAGAAUUCUCGGUGUAGCAGUGAAAUGCGUAGAUAUCGAGAGGAAUACCAAAGGCGUAGGCAGGUCACUGGACAGUUACUGACACUGAGGCACGAAGGCCAGGGGAGCGAACGGGAUUAGAAACCCGAGUAGUCC
Molecule: ribosomal RNA, 449 nt
Filed under: uncultured bacterium
Lineage: Bacteria
Description: partial 16S ribosomal RNA
Rfam family: Bacterial small subunit ribosomal RNA
Source: RNAcentral